Long non-coding RNA from Magnolia sinica, 444 nucleotides. RefSeq lists it as uncharacterized. The record is from RefSeq and is a predicted model, not a curated record. NCBI's taxonomy places the organism in Eukaryota, Viridiplantae, Streptophyta, Magnoliopsida, Magnoliales, Magnoliaceae. The transcript is spliced from 3 exons.
CCCUUUUCCACUCCGGUCUCUCUUGAUAUGGCUUCCAUUUCCAUUGCUUGUUGAAGAUGCUUAUCUCUCGGCCGUUGCCCGGCGAGAAGGCCCGCAAGAGGAAGAAGCACCGGAAACAGCCGUAGCAGUAGCUCCUCUUCUCCAACAGCCGCAGCAGGACAACACUCUCCACAUGGGCAGGGACAACACGCUACUUGUUUGAUGAAAUGCUUUAGCCAAAUCCUUUUUUGGAUGAAACCAUGCUAUCAAUUGGACUUGAGACCACCUUUCUCAAUUGGGAUCAGCAGCCAAGUCAAUGUUACAAAGACAACUGGUCUGGAAAUCUGGGAAGAUAUAGUGUUCAUGGUGGAUAUGUUUAUUGCAGGCAUUGGAACUGGUGAAACUAUUUCUGGCGUUGGCUAUUUUCUGAAAGACAAAAAUCCUAACAUAAAGGUAUAAUAUGAU